AGUGAACGCUGGCGGUAGGCCUAACACAUGCAAGUCGAACGGCAGCACAGUAAGAGCUUGCUCUUACGGGUGGCGAGUGGCGGACGGGUGAGGAAUACAUCGGAAUCUACUUUUUCGUGGGGAUAACGUAGGGAAACUUACGCUAAUACCGCAUACGACCUACGGGUGAAAGCAGGGGAUCUUCGGACCUUGCGCGAUUGAAUGAGCCGAUGUCGGAUUAGCUAGUUGGCGGGGUAAAGGCCCACCAAGGCGACGAUCCGUAGCUGGUCUGAGAGGAUGAUCAGCCACACUGGAACUGAGACACGGUCCAGACUCCUACGGGAGGCAGCAGUGGGGAAUAUUGGACAAUGGGCGCAAGCCUGAUCCAGCCAUACCGCGUGGGUGAAGAAGGCCUUCGGGUUGUAAAGCCCUUUUGUUGGGGAAGAAAAGCAGCAGGUUAAUACCCCGCUGUUCUGACGGUACCCAAAGAAUAAGCACCGGCUAACUUCGUG
Molecule: ribosomal RNA, 491 nt
Filed under: uncultured bacterium
Lineage: Bacteria
Description: partial 16S ribosomal RNA
Rfam family: Bacterial small subunit ribosomal RNA
Source: RNAcentral